This 341-nucleotide ribosomal RNA is filed under the name Lindholmia christophi. RNAcentral's name for it is "Helix christophi partial 12S ribosomal RNA". Lineage: Eukaryota; Metazoa; Mollusca; Gastropoda; Stylommatophora; Helicidae. The record is from RNAcentral.
GCAGCGAGCAAAUUAACGUUCUGGGCACUAUAAUUAACAUGGUUAAAACCUACAUGGCAUGGCGGCAGUUGAAAUAUUCAGGGGAUCUUAUGUCAUAAUUGAUAGCCACCAAGUACAUCAACAAUAAGUUAUAUCUUACAUACCGUCGUCGCCAGAUGAACUAAAAUAGCUCAUCGAAAUAUAAAAUUAGAAAAGGACAGAUCAAGGUGUAGAUUAUCUUAUUGCGGUCACGAGAUACUAUGAUAGUUACCCUCACUCACAGGUUUUAACACCCGGGUGUGUCGGACUUGAAAGUAAUACGUAUUAUAAAUACCACAUGAAUCCUCUUCAUCUGUGCACAA